GAUGAACGCUGGCGGCGUGCCUAAUACAUGCAAGUCGAGCGAACGGACGAGAAGCUUGCUUCUCUGAUGUUAGCGGCGGACGGGUGAGUAACACGUGGAUAACCUACCUAUAAGACUGGGAUAACUUCGGGAAACCGGAGCUAAUACCGGAUAAUAUUUUGAACCGCAUGGUUCAAAAGUAAAAGACGGUCUUGCUGUCACUUAUAGAUGGAUCCGCGCUGCAUUAGCUAGUUGGUAAGGUAACGGCUUACCAAGGCAACGAUGCAUAGCCGACCUGAGAGGGUGAUCGGCCACACUGGAACUGAGACACGGUCCAGACUCCUACGGGAGGCAGCAGUAGGGAAUCUUCCGCAAUGGGCGAAAGCCUGACGGAGCAACGCCGCGUGAGUGAUGAAGGUCUUCGGAUCGUAAAACUCUGUUAUUAGGGAAGAAUAUAUGUGUAAGUAACUGUGCACAUCUUGACGGUACCUAAUCAGAAAGCCACGGCUAACUACGUGCCAGCAGCCGCGGUAAUACGUAGGUGGCAAGCGUUAUCCGGAAUUAUUGGGCGUAAAGCGCGCGUAGGCGGUUUUUUAGUCUGAUGUGAAAGCCCACGGCUCAUUCGUGGAGGGUCAUUGGAAACUGGAAAACUUGAGUGCAGAAGAGGAAAGUGGAAUUCCAUGUGUAGCGGUGAAAUGCGCAGAGAUAUGGAGGAACACCAGUGGCGAAGGCGACUUUCUGGUCUGUAACUGACGCUGAUGUGCGAAAGCGUGGGGAUCAAACAGGAUUAGAUACCCUGGUAGUCCACGCCGUAAACGAUGAGUGCUAAGUGUUAGGGGGUUUCCGCCCCUUAGUGCUGCAGCUAACGCAUUAAGCACUCCGCCUGGGGAGUACGACCGCAAGGUUGAAACUCAAAGGAAUUGACGGGGACCCGCACAAGCGGUGGAGCAUGUGGUUUAAUUCGAAGCAACGCGAAGAACCUUACCAAAUCUUGACAUCCUUUGACAACUCUAGAGAUAGAGCCUUCCCCUUCGGGGGACAAAGUGACAGGUGGUGCAUGGUUGUCGUCAGCUCGUGUCGUGAGAUGUUGGGUUAAGUCCCGCAACGAGCGCAACCCUUAAGCUUAGUUGCCAUCAUUAAGUUGGGCACUCUAAGUUGACUGCCGGUGACAAACCGGAGGAAGGUGGGGAUGACGUCAAAUCAUCAUGCCCCUUAUGAUUUGGGCUACACACGUGCUACAAUGGACAAUACAAAGGGCUGCGAAACCGCGAGGUCAAGCAAAUCCCAUAAAGUUGUUCUCAGUUCGGAUUGUAGUCUGCAACUCGACUACAUGAAGCUGGAAUCGCUAGUAAUCGUAGAUCAGCAUGCUACGGUGAAUACGUUCCCGGGUCU
This 1371-nucleotide ribosomal RNA is filed under the name uncultured bacterium. RNAcentral describes it as "bacterial SSU rRNA". It matches the Rfam family "Bacterial small subunit ribosomal RNA", at positions 28 to 1381 of the family's 1533-position model. The record is from RNAcentral.